This 459-nucleotide transfer RNA is filed under the name Magnolia kwangsiensis. The record is from RNAcentral. Lineage: Eukaryota; Viridiplantae; Streptophyta; Magnoliopsida; Magnoliales; Magnoliaceae.
AAGAUUAGGUUCGGAAUUCUUGGAGGAAUUCCUUACAGAGGAAGAACAAGUUCUUUCUUUGAUCUUCCAAAGAACCUCUUCUCCUUCUUAUAGGUCACAUAGAGAACGGAUUUGGUAUUUGGAUAUUAUCCGUAUCAAUGACCUGGCUAAUCAUUCAUGAUUGGUCAUGGGAUCAUGUAAAUGAAAAUGAUCCAUAAAUGAUGAAGGGAUAAAAAAAAGAACAAAACCAAAAAUUCUUUUCAAUCUGAAAUGCUCAUGCAGUAGUGUAGUGGUUGACUGAGUAUUCAAGUUUCUUAGAUUCCCUUCUAGGGAUCUGAGUUUUAUAUGUAUACAUAGGGAAAGCCGUGUGCAAUGAAAAAUGCAAGCACGGUUUGGGGAGGGAUCUUUUUUUCCCCUAUUGCAACAAGGAAAUUAUCUACUCCAUCCGACUAGUUCCGGGUUCGAGUCCCGGGCAACCCA